This 459-nucleotide ribosomal RNA is filed under the name uncultured bacterium. RNAcentral describes it as "partial 16S ribosomal RNA". It matches the Rfam family "Bacterial small subunit ribosomal RNA", at positions 338 to 795 of the family's 1533-position model. The record is from RNAcentral.
CCUACGGGCGGCAGCAGUGAGGAAUAUUGGUCAAUGGUCGGGAGACUGAACCAGCCAAGCCGCGUGAGGGAGGAAGGUACAGAGUAUCGUAAACCUCUUUUGUCAGGGAACAAAGGCGGGGACGUGUCCCCGGAUGAGUGUACCUGAAGAAAAAGCAUCGGCUAACUCCGUGCCAGCAGCCGCGGUAAUACGGAGGAUGCGAGCGUUAUCCGGAUUUAUUGGGUUUAAAGGGUGCGCAGGCGGUCUGUUAAGUCAGCGGGCAAAGCCCGGGGCUCAACCCCGGCCCGCCGUUGAAACUGGCAGUCUCGAGUUGGAGAGAAGUAUGCGGAAUGCGCGGUGUAGCGGUGAAAUGCAUAGAUAUCGCGCAGAACUCCGAUUGCGAAGGCAGCAUGACGGCUCCACACUGACGCUGAGGCACGAAAGCGUGGGUAUCGAACAGGAUUAGAUACCCGUGUAGUC